This 465-nucleotide ribosomal RNA is filed under the name uncultured bacterium. Its description in RNAcentral is "partial 16S ribosomal RNA". It matches the Rfam family "Bacterial small subunit ribosomal RNA", at positions 28 to 507 of the family's 1533-position model. The record is from RNAcentral.
GACGAACGCUGGCGGCGUGCCUAACACAUGCAAGUCGAACGGAAAGGCCGCCUUGUGGGGUCUUCGAGUGGCGAACGGGUGGGUAACAUGUGAGUAAUCUACCCUUGACUUUGGGAUAACUUCAGGAAACUGGGGCUAAUACCGGAUAGGAGCUCCUGCCGCAUGGUGGGGGUCGGAAGGUUUCGGCGGUUGGGGAUGGACUCGCGGCUUAUCGGCUUGUUGGUGGGGUAGUGGCUCACCAAGGCUUUGACGGGUAGUCGGCCUGGGAGGGUGACCGGCCACGUUGGGUCUGAAAUACGACACAGACGACAACCGUAGGCAGCAGGGGAGAGUAGUACACAACGGGCUGAAGCCUGAUACGGCGACGCCGCGUGCGGGAAGACAUGCUUCUGGUUGGAAACCACUAUCCCCUGAUACGAAGCGAUAGUGACGGUAAUGGGUAAAGAAGCACCGGCUAACUACGUG